AGGGUUGUGGCUCAGUGGUAGAGCGCUUGCCUAGCAUGUGUGAGGCCCUGGGUUCCAUCCUCAGCACCACGU
RNAcentral lists this transfer RNA (72 nucleotides) under Ictidomys tridecemlineatus (thirteen-lined ground squirrel). RNAcentral describes it as "Spermophilus tridecemlineatus (thirteen-lined ground squirrel) tRNA". It matches the Rfam family "tRNA". Rfam says of the family: Transfer RNA (tRNA) molecules are approximately 80 nucleotides in length. Their secondary structure includes four short double-helical elements and three loops (D, anti-codon, and T loops). The record is from Rfam by way of RNAcentral. Lineage: Eukaryota; Metazoa; Chordata; Mammalia; Rodentia; Sciuridae.